UACGUAGGAUCCGAGCGUUGUCCGGAUUUACUGGGUGUAAAGGGAGCGCAGGCGGACUUUUAAGUCGGUGGUGAAAUCUCGAAGCUUAACUUCGAAACUGCUUCCGAAACUAUUAGUCUUGAAUCUAGAAGAGGGCGAUGGAAUUCAUGGUGUAGCAGUAAAAUGCGUAGAUAUCAUGAAGAACACCGGUCGCGAAGGCGGUCGCCUGGUCUAGUAUUAACGCUCAGGCUCGAAAGUGUGGGGAGCAAACAGGAUUAGAUACCCUGGUAGUCCACACCCUAAACGAUGAAUACUCGAUGUUGGAAUUUUUCAGCAUCCAAGUUAACACGAUAAGUAUUCCACCUGGGGAGUACGAUCGCAAGGUUG
This 366-nucleotide ribosomal RNA is filed under the name uncultured prokaryote. RNAcentral's name for it is "bacterial SSU rRNA". It matches the Rfam family "Bacterial small subunit ribosomal RNA", at positions 524 to 896 of the family's 1533-position model. The record is from RNAcentral.